UAUCAAGGGUUUCUUGUUGGUGUCUGACA
This 29-nucleotide non-coding RNA is filed under the name Homo sapiens (human). The record is from RNAcentral. Lineage: Eukaryota; Metazoa; Chordata; Mammalia; Primates; Hominidae.